UACGUAGGGGGCGAGCGUUGUCCGGAUUUAUUGGGCGUAAAGAGCUCGUAGGCGGCUUGGCAAGUCGGGUGUGAAAACUCCAGGCUCAACCUGGAGAUGCCACUCGAGACUGCUAUGGCUAGAGUCCGGUAGGGGACCACGGAAUUCCUGGUGUAGCGGUGAAAUGCGCAGAUAUCAGGAGGAGCACCGGUGGCGAAGGCGGUGGUCUGGGCCGGCACUGACGCUGAGGAGCGAAAGCGUGGGGAGCGAACAGG
Molecule: ribosomal RNA, 254 nt
Filed under: uncultured bacterium
Lineage: Bacteria
Description: partial 16S ribosomal RNA
Rfam family: Bacterial small subunit ribosomal RNA
Source: RNAcentral